GUCUUCCAGUUGGGCUCACUAGUGGGGAAUUCCAGCAGGAGAGAAGAAGGAGAGAGCAGAGUGAAACUGGGGUGUAUAUUCCCCUGCCUCCUUUCCCACAGGCUCUUUCCAGGCUGACUUUGACUCUCUGAUGAAAGCCACAGAAGGUGGCUUCUCUGCACAACUCUCCCCUUCCAGAUUCUGGUUAUAACUGCCUUUCCUUUUCCCUUCAGGAGCAAGUGGGGGUAACAACUCUGCAGUCACUAUCUGAAAAUGCCCUGCUGUUGUUUUUGUUUUUUCUACCCAAUGCCCUGGUCUUAGUGAAUAGUAUCUUUCUCAAACCAUCCUGGAAUUAUCCUAGUUUGAGUGAACCUUUAUUUUUUCUUUUGCUGGAGCCUGAUCUUGUCAGAUACUUGGGUGGAAAUAUGUCAGAUACUUAAUGGAAAUGUAUAAUUCUAUUUCGAAGAACCUGCUUUUGGAUUUAUUUAGCCUUUUAAUCAUUUUUGUUUCUAUUUCAUUAAGUUCAGGUCUUACAUUAAUUAAUUUCCCUCUUCCAAAUUUCUUUUGGCUUAUUUUGUUGCUCAUUUUCAAAUUCAUUAAGGGCUGCAAAUGAGAAGUCUUCCUUAUGUUCACUUGGCUGAGAAACUGUGGGAAGAUAGAGAGCAAAGAGACUUCUUCCAGGAACUGCUGAAGGGUGCAUACAUCCUGCCUGUAGUCCAUAGGCUAUUGGAUCAGAACAUUACAGCAGGAUUCCCACCAGUCCCACCAAUAUUUUGACAGCUGACCUGAGCUCCAGUGCUGGCAGGGAAAAAUAACUGCCCAUCCUUGGAGCCUCACAGCCUAAAAGAAAAGGAUGAGCCCAACAAUUUGAAGACACACUGUGAGAUAGAACUGCUGCAUAAGACAGAUGAUCACCUGAAUAAAAAUUCAUCGUGAAUGCUUAAGGAGAUUCAAACACAAUACCAACAAUACAAAAAAAGACUUUCUUGAGAUUAAAAUUAUUAUUUUCAAACUAAGACAAAUCAGUAGAUAAUAAAUAAAGGGGAGUUUGACCACUGGAUGACCAGAUCAGUAGCCAGAAAUAUCUUAAAGCACAAGAAUGGAAGAAGUAGAAGUCCUGUGGGAAAAGGUGAAAGAGUCACAGAAGAUCUAGCAAGCAAAUACUGGAAGAAAAAAAUGGAAGAGACACAUGAAAAAGUAAUAUCCCAGGGCUGAAAGAAGAUCUGAAUCUACACGCUGAGAUCCAAUCAGUCUUCAUGAAAAAGAUGCACAUCUAGGCAUAUCCUGAUGGAUAAGAAAAAUAUCUUAAAUGCUCCUAGAUAGGAAGAGCAAGUUUACCCAUCAAUGGACAUUUCACUUUCAACCUGUGAAUAGAAAGUUAAAGUGCCGUCAAUGCUGAGAACAAACAGGGUCCCAUCCCAGAUAAUCCUUAAAGUUGUUCCUCCCGUGGUGGUUAGACAAUAUAUUCAACAGAAGGACACCCACUCUGCAGCACAACUGUCCUGUUUCCUCAACAAGUCAGUGUCCCGAGGAAAAGGGCCUGUGCUAGAGGAAGACACUUAAAGGGGCGUAACUACCAGAUGCAAAAUGUGGCUGUGACUCAAAUGCUGUUUUGUACAAACCAGCAGCAAAGGUCAUUCUGGAAUCAACUGCAGAAAUUUAAAUAAGGUUUGGGUAUCUCAUGAGAUGAAAAUUUACUGAAAUAGUAAAAUGGAGAUGGCUCAUUGGAAAAAGCAGGCUACGAAACAACAAAUCACACAAAUACACACACAUAUACACUAUUUAAAAUAAGUAUGUAUACACACACAUAACAAAAAAUAGGUAUACAUACACAUAAAAGAUAAAUAUAUGAAAAACUGUAUAUAUAUAACAUAUAUAUAAUCUGCAAGAACAUGCCUUAGAGUUUAAAAUGGUGAUGCAUUGUGUCAAUAUGAUAUUUUUCAUUUUAUUUUCUAAUUUUCAAUAAUUAAAAAUACGGCCACCAUAAAAUGUAUACCUAUUUAUGUGUGUGUGUGUGUAUAUAUACAUGAAAAUUUCCUUCUCCUUCUUCUUCCGUAUAUAUAGAAAAAGGGAAGGAAGAAGAGGAGGAAGAUGAGCAGUGAUAGAAGGGGUGAGGAUGGGAGGAGGAGAGGAGGGGAGAAAAAGGAGGAGUAGGAAGGGCAAUCCUGAAAGGAACUUCCAAGAGGAAGCAGGGUGGAGCUUCAAGAACGAAGGACGACAAUGCUGCAGCAUCGUUGUGGUGUGUCUGGCACAGCACAGGUUCAGAUGCAGAAUGUGGGAGAGUCUUGCCUGUUGUGAAUUAUCGCAAAAUACCACGGGAGGAAAAUGUCACCCUAAACCAGUUGUGUUUAGCUUCCACACAUCAAAAUAUGGCAUAACAGGUUUCAGAAAGAACUAGGUUCAAUUCUGAAAAAGAAUACCAAAACCUGGAUUAGUUAUGGAUGGCUCCAAAUUAUAGUGCCUGUUUAUGCACAUGCUAGUGAAAUAACGAGUUUUAUGACAGCUGCCUCUCUUAUAAAAAUAUUAAAAUUACAAAAACAGGACUUUGUUUUGUGAUAUCCACGUUCUCAGUAGUUUUAAAUGUCGUUAAUUUAGAUUUCACAAUUUUGAACUAUGUAAAAGUGUAAUCUGGCAAAAAAUAUUUACGUAAAAUUGUUCAUGAAAAAGAGACUUCUGGACAAAUUCAUCUUGAAAAUAAAAUUGCAUGAAGCAUGUUUACUUCUCAUAAAUUGCAUACUCUUUUACUAAAGAACUUAUAGUAUUCUGUAUAAAUUGAAGAUGCUGAAUUCAAUUACACCUUAGUUUAUGUCAUCAGCAGCUCAUCAAGCUCUUUGGUGUUUUUUUCCUGACUUUUCCUGACUGAGCCAAGGUGACAAAAUAGGUUUAGUUCUGCAACUAAUCCUCCC
Molecule: long non-coding RNA, 2885 nt
Organism: Equus caballus (horse)
Lineage: Eukaryota; Metazoa; Chordata; Mammalia; Perissodactyla; Equidae
Source: Ensembl